Long non-coding RNA from Passer domesticus (house sparrow), 222 nucleotides. RefSeq lists it as uncharacterized. The record is from RefSeq and is a predicted model, not a curated record. The transcript is spliced from 3 exons. NCBI's taxonomy places the organism in Eukaryota, Metazoa, Chordata, Aves, Passeriformes, Passeridae.
AAACAUGGAGCUAAGAAUAAAAGAGGCAAUUAGGGUUACAUUCAGCAGGUCUCCAGUUAAAAAGAAAACAAGACAAAAUGCUUUCAACUUCAGGACACAACACCCCAGAUUUUACGUGGCUGUCACAGUGAAAUGAGGGCUUCUAAGCUGAGACAAGCCUCAGCUGAAAUAGGAAUGCAAACUCCUACCAGAAUCUAGCAGAAGAGCAACAAAGAAAGGAAC